RNAcentral lists this ribosomal RNA (1076 nucleotides) under Salmonella enterica. RNAcentral's name for it is "partial 23S ribosomal RNA". It matches the Rfam family "Bacterial large subunit ribosomal RNA", at positions 1 to 1016 of the family's 2925-position model. The record is from RNAcentral. RNAcentral also lists the same sequence under 3 other names. Lineage: Bacteria; Pseudomonadati; Pseudomonadota; Gammaproteobacteria; Enterobacterales; Enterobacteriaceae.
GGUUAAGCGACUAAGCGUACACGGUGGAUGCCCUGGCAGUCAGAGGCGAUGAAGGGCGUGCUAAUCUGCGAUAAGCGCCGGUAAGGUGAUAUGAACCGUUAUAACCGGCGAUACCCGAAUGGGGAAACCCAGUGUGAUUCGUCACACUAUCAUUAACUGAAUCCAUAGGUUAAUGAGGCGAACCGGGGGAACUGAAACAUCUAAGUACCCCGAGGAAAAGAAAUCAACCGAGAUUCCCCCAGUAGCGGCGAGCGAACGGGGAGGAGCCCAGAGCCUGAAUCAGCAUGUGUGUUAGUGGAAGCGUCUGGAAAGGCGCGCGAUACAGGGUGACAGCCCCGUACACAAAAGCGCAUAUGCUGUGAGCUCGAUGAGUAGGGCGGGACACGUGGUAUCCUGUCUGAAUAUGGGGGGACCAUCCUCCAAGGCUAAAUACUCCUGACUGACCGAUAGUGAACCAGUACCGUGAGGGAAAGGCGAAAAGAACCCCGGCGAGGGGAGUGAAAAAGAACCUGAAACCGUGUACGUACAAGCAGUGGGAGCCCCACCACUAAGCCAGUGGUGAACUCCACAUACGCAUCCUUUGCUGAGGAGACGGUUAACGGAGCGAAAGCGACGUUCAACCUCAAAAGAAGCAGAGGGGGCUUAGUGGUGGGGUGACUGCGUACCUUUUGUAUAAUGGGUCAGCGACUUAUAUUCUGUAGCAAGGUUAACUGUAUAGGGGAGCCGGAGGGAAACCGAGUCUUAACCGGGCGUUAAGUUGCAGGGUAUAGACCCGAAACCCGGUGAUCUAGCCAUGGGCAGGUUGAAGGUUGGGUAACACUAACUGGAGGACCGAACCGACUAAUGUUGAAAAAUUAGCGGAUGACCUGUGGCUGGGGGUGAAAGGCCAAUCAAACCGGGAGAUAGCUGGUUCUCCCCGAAAGCUAUUUAGGUAGCGCCUCGUGAAUUCAUCUCCGGGGGUAGAGCACUGUUUCGGCUAGGGGGCCAUCCCGGCUUACCAACCCGAUGCAAACUGCGAAUACCGGAGAAUGUUAUCACGGGAGACACACGGCGGGUGCUAAUGUCCGUCGUGAAGA